CAAGGAAUUUUCGGCAAUGGGCGAAAGCCUGACCGAGCAACGCCGCGUGGUGGACGACGGCCUUCGGGUUGUAAACACCUUUUGCGAGGGACGAUUGUGACGGUACCUCGCGAAUAAGCCCCGGCUAACUCCGUGCCAGCAGCCGCGGUAAGACGGAGGGGGCAAGCGUUGUCCGGACUCACUGGGCGUAAAGGGUGCGCAGGCGGCACGGCACGUUCGCGCUGAAAUCCCACGGCUUAACCGUGGGGCGCGUGCGAAUACGGCCGAGCUCGAGGCAUGGAGAGGAUAGGGGAACUCCUGGUGUAGUGGUGAAAUGCGUAGAGAUCAGGAAGAACAUCCGUGGCGCAAGCGCCUAUCUGGCCAUGACCUGACGCUGAGGCACGAGAGCGUGGGGAGCGAA
RNAcentral lists this ribosomal RNA (400 nucleotides) under uncultured bacterium. Its description in RNAcentral is "bacterial SSU rRNA". It matches the Rfam family "Bacterial small subunit ribosomal RNA", at positions 355 to 772 of the family's 1533-position model. The record is from RNAcentral.